Molecule: long non-coding RNA, 3097 nt
Filed under: Zostera marina
Lineage: Eukaryota; Viridiplantae; Streptophyta; Magnoliopsida; Alismatales; Zosteraceae
Description: long non-coding RNA (ZMAR_LNC000203)
Source: RNAcentral
CCAAUAAAACUUAAUUGACAUGGCCCAUGGGCCUCACUUUAGUCCAUCCCGGCUUCUUGGUCUGGCGGGUUGGUAUGGAGCUAGUAGGACCAGGUUCAUUCUCCUGGAACGAAUCUGAACCAGAGUUGUAAAUUCCCAAAUCUAAAUCUAGGGAUUUCUCAUCGUCGGCUUCAUCCCGGCGAACGAUCUUCUCCAAGUUGGCCUUGAUAGAUUGGUAAUUUAACAUGAUCGUAUCAUAUAUCUCUACAAAGUUCAAUUGCUCUAACUUUAUCGCAAUCAAUCUUAAGAUGUUAGUUUUGAAUGUUUUUCUUCAACUUUAUCAGAUGCUUCUUUUGUUUCUUAGAUUUUUCUUCGACAAAAGGGCAAAAACAAUAUAAAAGAAUGGUUUUGUGCAUAUUUUUUAUUCAUCUUAGAUUGUUAUACAAACUAUUUUAGGUACAGUACAACUCUACAGUUUUGAUCCAUUAUUUGAUUAUGGAGAUUAAUUGGGUGGCGAUUAUAGAGAAAAUGACAACAGAUUAGCCUGCACUAUCUGCUGCAAUAAUGUUGGUGAGGGAAGAUAAAGAGGAUCUUGUGAUAGUUUCACCUCUCUAUGUUAACAUCACAAGAUCCUCUUUUGCUUUCUCCACCAGCAUUAUUACAUCAAACAGUGCAAGCUAACUAGAUGUUAUUUUCUCUAUCAUCACCACCCAAUCUUUCUCAUUUUCACCUCCACCUCCUCUGAAUCUGUCUCCUUUGAUGGAAUACAAUUCGUCUAGAUCUUCUGGUAGCAGCUCAUUAGCAGUCUGGGAAGCUAGAUCAUGAGAAGUAGUCUCCUUCUUGGGAAAGCUCUGAAAUGAUAGUUUGAUCGAAGGUUACCCAUGCCCGGCUUUACUUUCCUCAUGUUGGUUUCAUUAUAACCAUGUAAACUCUUGAGCGACAUCGAUCACUUAUGAGGUCAGCGACGAUAGAACGUCUGACUUAUUUGAUGACCGGAAUGGCAUCUCACCCAGUUGUAUUUAAGGUUUUCAGAACAAACUUCUCUUAGAAGAUCGAUAAGAAAUGGAUUCGAAGAUGGUGGAAAUGAAAAUCAUAUCCCAUCAAAGAAGAGGAAUUAGCAGGAUUCAUAAUAGAAUUAGGGUCGGAUUGUGAUAUUCUGAUAUCAGGAUUAUGAUCAUUAUAUAGAGUGGGUACUCAUUAUAAAUUGGGAUUCUGAGAUGUCCAUUUCAAGAAAAAAAUCCGGGAAUUAAAGAAAAAUCAUUAAUGACAUGUAUUUUGUCACAUACCCUAAAUCUUACUGGUUUGGGUCCUUGGGAGAAUCUAUUUUAGCUUCUUUCCUCUUGGUUAUUAAUUGCUUGGUAUCAAAUGCAACAUCAAACCAUCCUUCUUUACUAUAAAAUAUUCCUACUUUAUUACACUGUAUCUCCUCUUUCUCAGGUUGACCCUAGGGUGUCAAAUAAAACCCAGCUCGACGGGCUCGCGAACCCAACGAGCUGAGCCCGAGCCCAAUCCUCAAGCUCGUUUAGCUUAACGAGCCGAGCUCGAGCUUGGACAUGCCAAGCUCGUCUCGUUAAGCUCGAUUGGGCUCGGUAAGAAGUAUAAAAAAAUAAUAAAAAAAAUAUUAUAUUUAGAGAGAAUGGAGGUGUAGCAUAGAUGGUAAAACGUUUGUCAAGCAUGCGAGAGGUCACGGGUUCGAUCCUGCAUGUCUCCAAAUAAUUAUUUUUUUUAAUUCGAGCCCAGGCUCGCGAGCUUCGAGCCCGAGCCUGGCAAUUCUUAAAACGAGCCGAGCCCGAGCUCGGCCAAACCAGGCUCGGCGAACUCGAGCUCGAGCCUGGAUAACUCCUUAACGAGCCGAACCCGAGCCUGGCUCUAUAAGAAAAAGCUCGACUCGGCUCCUUUGACACCCUAGUCGAGCCCUAGGGGUAUUUAUACACAUUCUUAUUGGGCCUAAUGUCAUGUUGGACCGGCUCUUCUUGACCUUUUGGACCGGACCCGUCCGGGUCCGACUUGUUGGGUCGAGUUCGACUUGUUGAGCCAAGUGGGCCUAUUGGAUCGGGAGUGGGUCUGGUCUGAUGGACUAGAGGAGGGGUAUCAUCAGUUAUGUUUAACUUAAGUUUUUUUUAUGUUUGUAUUAUUACCUGUGGAUAUAUGUUUGUAUUAUUACCUGUGUACCAUCAGUUAUGUUGUACAUCUCCGACCAUCCUCGAAUGACAUCUUCCGGCAUCACUUACAUGCGUAUUAUAUCUCAUACAUAUAUUACUACGUACCUAUGAGUAAAAGAUCUUAACUUUCAUAUUUGAAUGAUUUAACCAAGUCAUUGUGUAAAGUCUUUGACCCUUAAAAUGACUUUCUAAUCAAGAUCAAUUAUAUCCAUUUUUAACGCAUAUUUUUAUGGUACUCUCUACUAACCACGAAAAAGACUACUAAUCUUCCUUAUAGCCUUCGUACGCGUUCUAAUGGUUUUUUCUUUCGUCUACUGAUUUUUUCUACAUUAUUUUUGACUGAUUCAAUUAUAGAUCGAUCUACGGUCAAUGGCGUAUCCAUCUAGGGGCAAGGAAGGGCAAUUGCCCCUCCUAAAAUUUAACAAUUUUAAAAGGACCUAUAUUAAUUUAUAACUAUAUCAGGGUUUCAAUAUAAUUUUUACACUAUAUUACUAUUUUAUGAAGAUUAACUUAUAAAUUCUACAUAUAUAAUUAUGGCAAGUUUUCAGAGCAAUAUCACUAUCUGUGCUAUCUACGUCGUACGAAAUCCGGCCGUUCGAUUUGUUUGAUGAAAUGACAACCGUUUAUUUUUAAAUAGCUAUUAAAUAUGUUGUAUAAUAGAAUGUUGUAUUUAUUCGUUGAAUAAUAGAAUGUUGUAUAGGAAUAUUCGUUGAAUAAUUAGUGUCAGUAGUUUAUUGAAUGUUGUAGAUGUUUGGUCUUAGGUUACUGACAGUUAAUUUUUUCUUUUUUUUCCUGACACUACGUUCGAGGUAGCUAGUAUCGAACUGUCUUGUCAUGGUAGUUUUUUUUCAAAAGUUUUCAAUGCAAACGUGCUUUAAUUGUAGAGGAAAACAUACUUUAAUUGCAGAGUAGAACGUACUUCAAUUGCAGAGUAUAAUAUACUUCAAUUAUAGAGC